RNAcentral lists this transfer RNA (72 nucleotides) under Camelus bactrianus (Bactrian camel). It matches the Rfam family "tRNA". Rfam says of the family: Transfer RNA (tRNA) molecules are approximately 80 nucleotides in length. RNAcentral also lists the same sequence under 2 other names. Lineage: Eukaryota; Metazoa; Chordata; Mammalia; Artiodactyla; Camelidae. The record is from Rfam by way of RNAcentral.
GAGGGUACAGCUCAGUGGAAGAGCAUGUACUUAGCAUGCACGAGGUCUUGGGUUCAAUCCCCAGUACCUCCA